This 343-nucleotide ribosomal RNA is filed under the name uncultured Hydrogenophaga sp. RNAcentral describes it as "bacterial SSU rRNA". It matches the Rfam family "Bacterial small subunit ribosomal RNA", at positions 1033 to 1382 of the family's 1533-position model. The record is from RNAcentral. Lineage: Bacteria; Pseudomonadati; Pseudomonadota; Betaproteobacteria; Burkholderiales; Comamonadaceae.
CACAGGUGCUGCAUGGCUGUCGUCAGCUCGUGUCGUGAGAUGUUGGGUUAAGUCCCGCAACGAGCGCAACCCUGUCAUUAGUUGCUACGAAAGGGGCACUCUAAUGAGACUGCCGGUGACAAACCGGAGGAAGGUGGGGAUGACGUCAAGUCCUCAUGGCCCUUAUAGGUGGGGCUACACACGUCAUACAAUGGCUGGUACAAAGGGUUGCCAACCCGCGAGGGGGAGCCAAUCCCAUAAAGCCAGUCGUAGUCCGGAUCGCAGUCUGCAACUCGACUGCGUGAAGUCGGAAUCGCUAGUAAUCGUGGAUCAGCAUGUCACGGUGAAUACGUUCCCGGGUCUU